Gallus gallus (chicken) is the source of this 13939-nucleotide long non-coding RNA. RefSeq lists it as uncharacterized. NCBI's taxonomy places the organism in Eukaryota, Metazoa, Chordata, Aves, Galliformes, Phasianidae. The transcript is spliced from 3 exons. The record is from RefSeq and is a predicted model, not a curated record.
CAGGUGAGACAGCAUCCAUAUCUGCAAAAUGGACAUGAGGUACUUCACCUGGAAGUGCCAGCUCUAUCAUCCAUCCCAUCCCACUUGUUUUGCUUUGCUGAUCGUGGAAGAAAGGCCUCAAUUUCCAGUAACCUGGGAUGUCCUCUGUGUAGGCAAGCAUGCUGGGGAAAGUGCUACUGAGAAACAGACCCAAAGAUGCUGUCCCCACAAACAAGAAGACAACGCUGGAGGAGAAAAUCAGGAGCAGGAGGAAAGUUAUCAGGACUCCAACCUGCAAGCAACAAGCACAGAGUCAGCAGGAGGGCAAAUGCUGAAUUACAAUAAAGACACGGGGAUGGAGAUGAGCCUGCCCAGCGUGAUGAAUCCCCAGAAGAGGCUGGGCAGGUAGCCAGCCACCUUGUGUACUACAGAGAGAGGCUCUUCCACGGCGUAGCUGUAAAUGAAGCCUGAGUACUCUCCCUGUGGGGAAAAACAGAACAGCACGUCAUGGUGAUGUGAUGAUUUCCAGGCUUUGCAGCGUUAACUUCAACCUGUCCUUAAGUAUUGAUAAUGCAGUACUGCAGGAGAGCCCACCUAUGGAUUUGCUACUGAACCUCAAUGACCCUUAUUCCCAAGAGUUUGCAGCUGGGGACAGAAGUAGAACACAGGACUGAGACACUCCUAAAAGGGCACCACUGGACAGCUGCACUAGGUAAAAUGCGUGCUAAGCUCUUACCCAUAGAGAUGCUCUCUUCCCUUAAGACUGUCUCGGAACUGCAUACUCUGAGCACAUCUCACAGUGAGAACUCAGUCAUCCUUGAAGAUGGAAGCCCUAGAGAGGUUCUGUCUCUGACAGCUGCUCGGUGUAACCCCACUCAUCUUCCCAGAUCCUGUUUAAGGCCUUAAUGAGACUCAGCAGUAUUUUGCCACGAGUAUACUGAGACAAAAAGCUGUUUGAAGGAGCAGCAGCCAAAUGAGCCCUCCUCAUCUGGACAAGCGCUAUGAGCCCCAUGUGACUGCCCUGCUGGAGGAUGUGCUGUCAUGCCACUACAGAUAGACUGCACGCAUGCUUUCCUCUUGGAUAUUGUGGACCCAGCAAGCAAAGAACCUCUGUUUCUUAUGACAUGAAGAUGUUUUUACAUCCUGGCUAAAGUGAGAAGAGACUUCCACUGCCUGCAAGGACACCAUCACAACUCCAGCUCCACACUGGCUAGGAGAGCAGCAGUAGCCAUCUAGCUGCAACAGCACAGAGCCUAGGAGAAGGCACACAACCCUGCCAAGAAGCAGGGAACGUGUCAGCCAGAGCCAUCAGCUUUUAAUGAGCUACCUGGGGAACCUGACUGCUGCACCAUCAGGUCCAGCCCACUGCACACAGGGGACACAUGGGUGUCUCUGGGUAUGGGCUGUUGCAAGUGAUUUGGGAGGAGGAAAGCCGUAGAGCUUUGCUCAGACAAGAUCCUUCUAUCGGCUGAACUCACCACAAUCCCAUCAGUCAUGAAGAGAACAAGAGCCCCAGUGAUGUGGACUGCGAAGUAGGUGUAAGAAGCCCCUCUGAAGUUUUUGCUUUGGCAGCAGCUAAAUAAGUCAUCAUGACCUGGUGAAAAACAAUGCAAAGCAAACUUAGCUGGAACGUCCCCCUGGGGCUGGGUAGUUGCCAGCCCGCAAUGGGGAUUUGUUUUGUGCUCAGCUGCAGGACAGAGAUUCAUAGGGACUGUGAACAACAUGCAGUGCUGCUAACCUCUGCCAGCACAGUGUCUUUUAUUGUUAACCUACCUAAACCUUCAGAAGGGAUACGGCUAUGUUCGUAGGCUGACUGUCUCAGACUGGAAUCCCAGCUCUCCAGGAUGUUUGCUCACAAAAGCUGCUUAUGCUUCCCUUCCCAUUCAGCAGCAGCUCCACAUUGCUGCUCCCGUUCUUGAAAGAAAUAAACCCAUUCAGCCCCAGCACUCAUCCUCAGAGCUCCUCAUACACGGUACAACCACACCGGAGCCCUGCCAUCACAUUUCUCAGCUAAAAGGUCCUGAACCAAACAAGCCAACUCUGGGAAAGAGGAUGAUAGACCCACAGCCUGCUGUCACCUCCUCUGACAACCACUGACAACAUAAGUCUAUCCAAGCCAGCUGGGAGUCAGCACCCCAGUGUGCCCAACUGUCCCAUCCUCAGGCUCACACCGCACUGCCGAUUAUUCCUGCACUGGCAAAGAGGAAAUCCUCACCACUUCUAUGAGGAAAGGAGGGAUUUUUGCCAGCAUAGAAACAUCUGUCAAAGAUCACAGUAGUCAGCCAUGCAGCCGUCCUGCUUCUCUAAGGAUUGCUCUCAAAUGCAUUUAAGAAAAGGAUGGAGGUGAGAAGAAUGUGAAGCUCCAAUGGGUUGUAUGAGAAGGGGCAGCUGGGUUGAGGAAAGGCACACGUAAUGUCUCAGCUAAGGGGAGUGCUGUUAGAUGAACACAACCCUACUAGACACCAGAGAACCCACACCUUUAGGCGCAUUCCUUGCAGCACCUCAGCACAUCUCCAGCUGCCUCCACUUCUUUCCAGCACUCCCUAAAAUUGUACUGGUGGGGUAAAGCUGCCACUCCUGCAACAGUGCUCAUCUCACAACAAGAUGUGAUUGCUUCAGAGGUUCACUGUGUAGCUGGAGGAUUUGCUUGGAUAACAUUUCUCUUGGGCAGCAGAGAACAACACGACGCUGGCUGUAGUCACCAGUUCAGACUAUGGCUGGUGCUUAACUUUGUCUCAAACAAAAGCACUGUCCUUACACCUCUCAGAUUCACACCAAUCAGCAUUCUGCAGCAAUCACUGCCUUCACAUGGAGCAGACAGAGGAGCCAGCUCUAAACCUGACCUGAAACCAGGAGGAAAUAGAGGGGCAGAGCUUUCACGUGCGCCUGCAUGACCUGGGAGUGUGGGUUUAAUUUCAGGGCAGCUCACAGGAAAGCAGCCUGGAAACCCUGCAGCCCCAUCGGAUCUGAGGGCAAUUGGGCACCAAACCGAUGGGACCAUUUGGCCACUUUUGGAUCACAUUCAUCUAUGUUUUGGAAAGUUUUCUCCUUAGACAAUAGCAAUUAAGCUCACUUGUUAAACACCAUGGAGACAUUCAGAAAGAAGGCUUUUUCUCCCUCGGCUCAUCCCUUCCCCGUUCCCCAGAGCCAUAAGAGAAGUGCUUGCAGCUCACCUCCUGCAGCGUGGGCUCUGUGCACAGAGGUGGACAGGUCGUCCUUCUCCACAGGACGUGCUUCCAUCGCCAGCUCAUCUGCUGACAGCAGUGGGUGGCUGCUGCUGUUGAAGCACGGCACCAUGCGCUCCUUGUAGAGCAGGAAGAACACCGCGAUGGGCACCGGCAGCUGGGGAGGAGCAGAGAGGGGCAGGUAAAGGCAAUGCACAGCUCAUACAAACUGCAGUUCCUCAUUCACAAGGGCAUUUCGGGGAGCCCAACCCAUCCCCACUAAGUACGUCCCUCAAUGCCACAUCUAUGUGUUCCUUGGACACCUCUGGGGGUGGUGGAGUCGCCAUCCAGCUCCACCAACGCACAUCUGCCUCCACCCAGAGAAUAAGCAAAUAGUUUUUGCCCAUGGAGAGCAGAGUGAUAUGAAUGAGAGGCCUUGGGCUGAAACUGUGGGGAGCAAGCAAGCUGCUCCAAGCCCUGCUUUGCCCAUCUCCAGCCAUUAGCAGGGGUUGCUCAGCAUCUCAUGAGAGAUGAGCUCCUGGUUCCCAGGCCAACGACUGCAGCCGGACAGCUGCAAACAGCCCCUCAGCCCAGCCUAUGCUGCAGGACCUGGGAUGCAGGCACCCGCUAAUCCACAGCUGUGUGACAUCCAGUACUGCAUGUCCCCACCUAGGGACAAAACACAGGGACAGUGAGCUCAGACCUGCCCUUGGGGCCCCCUGCGCACACCCCGACUUGGUGGUGCCUGCAAACCCAGCGGGACUGCUCUUUUUUAGGGGAAUGAAAAUAGAGGGAAGUAAAUGAAAAGCUGGGUCUGCCCCUGAGCAGCCUCCUCCUCCCUGCAACUGAGUGGUGUUUAUUCUGCAACAAAUGGGGAGAAAGCCAGGAAAUCCUAAGUGACAGCUCACUCUCCAGCCGCCCAGCUCUUGUUUUCUCCAUGUCUGUGAACAAGUGUGAGCUCGAGCUCCAAAUUUCCUGCUUUUUGUUGGCUUGUGGCAUUAUUUAAAUGUAUGGAGAAUUCCCCCCACACCCGCCUCUCUUGCCUGAAUUCAUUUAUGAGGACUUCAUUGUUCUGGGAACAAUGGGAAUAGGAACAGUGAGUUCGGUCCCAUGGAAGAAAAAUGCAUUUGCUUGAUAGUUCUAAUCCUUCCGGAGGUCAGGAGCAGAUUUUAUUCUUCUAAAUUGCAAAUUUUGCAAAAUAAAGAAACCUCACAAAGAAAAGAAAAACGAACCAGAGGGACUGGCCAUAAAGAUAACAGCUCCAGGCACUCCAGGAGCACUUAACACCUGCACGGAGGGCACGGUGCUGGGAUCCCCAGUUCCCAAUGGGACCGUGCAUGCAUCCCAUCUCUAAAGCAAGCUGCUCCCUUUCCCUGUAUCCGGAUGAUAUCUCAAAGCUGGUGGUGCACAAAAGCCCAGACCCUACAGGGCUGGUCACUGAUAGCUCUCAGCUCUGGCUCUCUCUGGUAUUAGAUUCCCAAAAGCUGUGACCCUGUGGCACAGCCUGGCCAUAAACCCAGGCUGUACACAGGGACAGGGUGUCCUGGGAAGCACUUCGCUUGUUACACGGGCAGUUGGAGAGGAACAAACAGAGCUGAAUGCCGACACACUGCAUGGGCACGCAUCACCCAGCACUGGGACAGCCCACAUUGCAGGCACAGCUGCCCCAUCCCAACCCUUCUACUCCCAGCAGGUGCUCCGGGAGCCAAAGGAGCCAUCACCCCCGCCCCUUGCAGGUAUUAAUCAUUAUAAGCUCAAUGAUCUCUUGCAUUGUGCGGCUCAGUGUGGGAACACCUCCAGCAUCCCAGUUCCCAUUUCAGAUCCCAGCAUCGCUCCCUGUGGUGCUCCCAGCACCAACCCCAGCACAGCACCCCCCCAGGACAGACACCUUCUGGACAAGCACAGCCCUACAGAGGAACACUGCCCUGAUUUCCAGCCCCCUUUGGAUGAGGACAUUUCCGUUCUAUGGGAAACCAUAUUUUAAAGUGUAGUUUUUGUUCCAAAUCUGGAUAAAAAGCCCCAAAUUUUCCUCCCAGCCAAAUUUUUUUCAUUCCGAGACUCAUCCAAGCACUUCAUCUGAUAACUACAGCAAAAACAUUUUGCUUCAAUAGCACCGAAACGGAGUAUUGUCAUCUUUACCCUCUGCACCGAUGCCAAAGUCAAAUUGAGACAUUUUGACUUGAAACAAAGCAAGGAAUGGAAAUGAAUCAUUACAGCCAUCCCGUCAGGAUACACACAGCGCUGUGAGAACGGGUGUGGAGCUGUGGCUUUGGCCAUCUAAACAGGAAUAACACAGUUGCUGGUCCUGGUUUCCAUUCCUACAGCUCGCUCAUCCCAUCCACUCCCCUGGGGUGUCAGCACCGAGUGCUGCGUCCUUUCCAUGCUGCACAUGGUCACAUUCAAAACAGAUAGUAAAUGCUGCCUUCAAAACUCAAUUAUCUUGCUCAAGACAGACUGGCAAAGUAGGCAAUGCCGGGGUGUAAUUAAAAGCACAUUUCCCACGGCACGCACAGUGUCAGAGGUAACUAAAGCUGCUGCUGGGUAGGGAGCAUCCUUCCCUGCAUUGCACAGAGUCACUGCCCAGCAGUUCUGGUGCCUCUUCCUCUCCUAUCAGCAGCUGCCGUGCACACAGCCCUGCUGGGCGCUCUGCUUGGGUUUCUAAUCUGUCCUCACGCCUCCUUCAUCACUGCCAACGACAUCCCAAACACCCAGAUCCCGUCCACUUACAUUGAUGAGGGCCAUGAUCCAGAAGGCGUAGGAGACGCGUGUGACCACCAUGCCCUUCAUGGGCAGGUCGUAGUGGGACAGGUUGCCCGGGUGGUGCGGCACCAGGGACUUGCGGAUGUGGGGCAGGUUGCUGGAGGCAUUGGCCGUGCUGUUGGACAGGAUGCAGUUGGUGUCAGAGAGGAAGGGGUCGGCUAUCAGGGGGCUCAGCAGCGCUCCGAAGCCCACGAAGAAAUGCAGAGCCUGUGGGACGAGGCAGGGCUGUGGUCACGGAGGAGGAGGAAGCACAGCCGGGGUGGUCAUGGGCUCUGUGCUCACCUGCAGGAAGAUGGCAGAGUCCUUCUGGUAGAUCUUCACCAGCUGCAUGUUGGAGAUGGUGUCGAUGCAGCCCAUGGCCAGGCCUGCCACGGCCAUGACCACAGCCAGCACCACCACAUUGUGGCACAGUGGGAUGAUGGCAAAGACCAGGGAGAUGGCCAGGGAUGAGGCGAAGAGCGCAAAGAGUGACUGAGCCAACCUGGAGCAGGAAGGGGGAAGAAAAAAGAAUUACCCCCGUGAGAGCCACGUCUGCACCACAGCACUGCAUUGUGUUCUCAGCCCCAGGCCAGCUGGUGGCACAGGUAUCAGCAGGACGUGUCCAUGGGCUGUAUCUCCUGCUAACGCUGCUCCAGCAUGUGCUCUUCUGAUGCUGCACUUGGGAUGCUGAGCACCUUGCUCCCUUUCCGUGCAUCCUCAUCCAGCCACCACCACCCCACAGCACGGCCAUCUCCUGCCUCAAAGAGCUGCCCCUUCCAGCCAGUUUUCAAGGAGAAGAGGAACCAUCUCUAGAAACCCAUUCUGCACAUUCCAAGGCAGAAGAGGGAUGAGGACCUCCCCUUGUUACCUGCACGGAUCUGCAUUCUCCCUCCAUGCCCUGCUCUGUGCUCUGCUCGGGCAGCAUCUGCAUCCUGCAGAACAGAGCCCAGGUUGGCACUGUGCUGCACUGGAGCUGCCAAGUGGGAAGGCAGGAAGGAAGGAAGGAAGGAAACGGGGAGCAGACAGCUGAGUGCUGGAACCACUGAGGCCAGCAGAAAGAUGGGACUUCAGAGUCACAGCACUGAGUAAAUAGCAGAGGCACCUCCCAGCCUGAGAGGAGCCCGGGGCGAUGACCAACAGCUCACAGAAAUGAGGUGUAAUUAGCAGCUAGGGGAACACAUGGGCAUAGGACCAGCAAGCGGAACGCCCACAGAGGCAGAAGUGAUGGGCAGCAGGAUGGCUCAGCCCCAGGCACACCACUGUCCUUCUGCACAGCCCUCCUUCAUCCCAAACCCACAGCAGUCUGACCUCCCACAUCCUGCCUGUGGCUUGUGCUGUGCUUCAGCAGCAUGGGAAGGAACAGCAUGAGGGCAGCUGCCCCUUGUCAGCUGGUGGCACGAGGUGCUCACAGCCUCCAUCCUGCAGGAGCCCAUGGUUUGCAGAGCCCUAAAUGCUGACCUCCCCGUGACAGCACCCAGUGAUCCCACAUGGGGAUUUGCAGUGAGGGAGUGAGAUGCAUGUGGGGAAAGCAGUGAGCACAUGAGAGGGAAGCAGCCUUGAGCCUGCAGGGAGGCUGGGAGUGAUGGAGCAGUGUGCACCGAGACAUCCGUGAGACACCUCUUCUCUUCUGCAGGCCCAGCACUGCUGGUGCCACACUCAUUACCGGAGUUAAAUAUUAAUUGCAAAUAAUGCGAUGUCCUCAUAAAGCACUGAAUAGCUCACUUUGACGUUCCCAAAGUGCAAAAACUGCCUGCAGCUGUAUGACAUUCAUCACACACUCACACCCCCAGACAGUGGUGUGCAGCCUGGGGGGCACCCAGCACUGCCUUUGGGUGUGCUGAAGGGUCAUACCUUCCCCCAACAUAGCAUCCAGAUGCUCUCGAGGGCACUGCUCAGCCCUGCACAGCAGCUGGGGGUAUCUGCAGAUGUUUCCCCUUGGGAAGCAUCCUCAAAGGAGACACCCCAGGACUUCAGAGCGGCUCCGAACCCCACAUCCCAAUGGUGUGAAACUGAUGUGCCCCUCCAAAAGGCAUCCAGAUGUAGUGCCAUGAUGCAGCACUCAGCACCUCCCCCUCCCUGUGUCCCCAGCAGAGCUCCCUGCCAGCAGCCACCUCCUGUCCCAGGCGCUCAGGUGUGAAACAAGGCCAGUAGCAUCACAAAAGCUCCUUUGAUUUUCAGCACAAAUACUGAUUGUGAAAAGGAUCCUUCUGCUUUUUUGGUUCCUGGAGCGCUCAGCACACCUGGCUGCAUCGCAACCCAAGAGAGGAUCCACACGUGACACCCAGAGGUCCAGGCUGACCUCCAUAAGAUGCAGUGCUGCACUAUAUCAGUGCCAGCAAACUCUCCUUCUCCCCCCCACGCAGUACACGUAACCCCCAGCUCACUGCUCCUGCAGCACCCUCCAACUUGAAGGAUGGUUUUCCAGACCUCAGGAAGCAUAUUCUACAUCCCUCAAGAAGACAAAUGACCAUCAGGUUAAUUCCACUUCUGCAAAAGCCAUAAUUAAAAACCCAGAGCCCUAAGAGGAUGAGGGGAGGGCUGGGGGGUGCCAUCUCACACCCCUCCUGCUCCAGCUGUGCUGUGCCUUUGGGCAGAGCCUGGGCAGGGCUCCAGCACAGGACAGCCUCCCCCCAAGCCCUCUGCUCUCCUGUUAAUGCCAAUAGGAUGAGCUCAGGCUGUUCUGACAUCGGGAGCAAAAGCAAAAAUGCAAGAGGACACAAAAAUGCAGCUUCAGGAUGGGGAAAAAGCAAACUGAGGCACAAGCAGUCUGGUGCUUCUGUCACGAGUGCACGUGGCACAGUAGCGUGGAGGGAGCACAACUUCACAAUGCAAGCAUAACAUCCAUCCAAAUGGAAAAGGUAAAGGCAAGGAAUGCAAGAGGGGAUGCAGGUGCACGGAGCUCACGCCUGGAUUUUGCAGUGCUUCGGGAUGGGUUCACCUGAGGUGUCAGCUCCCACUGUGAAUUCCAAGUCCAGGCAGUGUUUUGAGCCCCAGACCCCAUCCCCACUCACGCAAAGGAAUGAUUUCGCAGCACCACAUGAAAAGCUGAAUUCUGAGCCAGAGAUGCAACUACAGCUGAGCAAACCCCGAGCACGAGUUUGCAGAGAGCAGAGCACGUUGUGAGCCUGAGCUGCACCGCGUGCAUCGCAGCAGUGGGGGCUGCUCUGCCAUCCCACCAGCAAAGCAGCUGCUGGGCACUGAGCACUGCAAGCACCAGCCGUGUUUUUGCACUGCUCAUGGUGAGAAAGUUUCUUCUUUGAAAGCCAGCAGGAAUUUUGGAGCUCAUCCUGGCAACCAAAAUGGACACUGAGUUGCAGAGGGAUUCGGGCCAUCGUUACGCUCUGAACUCGCAGUGCUGCAGGACUCCAACCCCACAUUCAGCAGCUUCCCUGGGGCGAGGAGUGCUGGGACAGCUCAUGAACUGGGACAACAGCUGUUGGUGCCCCAGUGCCACCUUCACCUACCAACACUUCCCACUCAGUUCCCUUCUCAAUUCACGAGACAGGAGUUGAACGAAGCGUUUCCAAACGGGUGCCUUACAGAAGUGAAGCACUUAUGCAAGAUUCCUUUCCGUGCUUGUUAAAUAUAUACGUGCGUGACGUAUGGAGACGCACAUGGAGGUGUGUUACACCACAGCCCAAACGAUUACCAACAAUGUAAAUAAUCAGCUGAUUCGCCCUACAGCAAGGCUGUCCAUCGCACCUCGCACCAAACGCAGUUGGCAGCCCUUAGGGCUGAGCCCUGGGCUCUCUAAAGACACCCCGGAGAGUGGGAUCGGGGUGUGCUGUCCCAGUGACCCCCCACAGGCUCCCGAGCAUCACCUCCCGACCCCCGGGGUUAUCGAACCGGGUCACCGCAACGCCCUCGAUCCACGGUUCGGAAAACAUCCUCCAGGAAGUUCUCACUGCAACUUCGCUGUCCCCGUCCCGAGCUGCGGGGAUCGCGUCGUUCCGUGCGGGUGGGCGCGGAGCCGCCCCGCAGCCCAAUCCCUCCGUCCCGCAUCUCCGCGCCCGUCUCAGCCCCACGGACCCGGGGGGGUGGGCAGCGCUGCCCCCCCUCCCUCCCCCCGGAGCAGAGCAGCCCUUACGUCCUCUUGAAGACCCCUCCGAGGCAGCUGCCGAGCAGGAGGCAGAACUGCUGCGAGAAGAAGACCCAGGUGAUCUGCGAGAGCGAGCUCUGUGUCUGGCAGCGCAGGUCCAGCAGCGUGGGCCCCAGAAAGGCGAUGCAGAGGCCGAAGCUGAAGAAGACGCUCCAAUAGGUGAGGGUGGGCUGCAGGUUCCUCCGGAACCGGGCCGAUACCCGCUCGUCCCACCACAUCCUGGGCGGCGGCGCGGGGCGGCCCGCGGAGAUGCGGCUCCCGCACCGCCCGGCCCCGCUGCCAGCCCGGCCCCGCCGCCGCCCCGCUCCCCGCUCCUCCUCCCCGGGCUGUGGCUCCGAAGCCCGCCGGCCGCUGACUCCGCCUCCGGGACCGGGGACCGCCGCCGCCUCCCGGGGACGGGCGGAGCCUUCCUCCGGCGGGCGGUGCGGUACGGAACGCACGGAGCCCACCCGGAGCCCCCCGAGACUUCAGCGCAUCCCCGCGGGGGCAGAGAACCGUCCGAACCGCCACCCCCAGCAUCACCUCCGGGUGGGGUGGAGCAGCAUCGCACCCAGAGAGAGGUGGGCAGCUCCCACUGCGCUGUCCGAGCCUAGCUGCUCAGAUUGCAUCCAACGCAACAGAAAACAGAGCAGCCACCAAAGCCCUCACUCUGCUGCCUGAGCGCCGUGCCCGUAAAUAAAGACAACCGCUCCAGACAAAUGCAAUUAAAGGUGUCUGAGCCCCUCCUGUGGAUAGGAAGAGCUGUGAGAUGGGCUGUGGGAGUGUGUGCAUUUUGGAGUUGGAGCGGCUGAUGCUUACGCAAAAGGUCUCCUCUAGAGGCUGAGAUUAUAAAUAUUUCACCUACUUUAGGGAAGGACUGCAAUUUUUAGAUCGCUCUUUCCAGGCAAAGUAGAAUCGCUGGAGCUGAGCUGCGGGUAUUGCUGCCCCAGUGCCACAACCCCACAGCUGUACUCAGCAUCCCGUGACCCACAUCUCAGGAAUGCUGCUCCGGGUCACAGGUGCUCAUUUCCACCUGGACAUAGCUUAAUGUUUAGCUAAUCCAAAUUGCAUCCGAGUCCCAGUUCUGCCACCUCCAUGGCAUCCGCAGGUGACCUCCCAGGUAAGGAGGGCAGCUACUGAGCGUGGGCAGCACCACGGAGGAGGUGGGGGAUGGAGCCCUGAUUGUUGCUGGGCACCCACAGCUGAAACCAAGGAGCCACAGAGCAGCUCAGCUACGAGGGAUGGAGCAGUGCUGUUAAGCGGUUCACCAAUGGGGAAACUGAAGGCUCAUGGGGCUGGAGGGGCCUGUGUGGAGCUUCUCAGUAUUGAAUGAGACGUUUAAUGCAUAUCCUCAAGUUCUGUAGGAGAGCUUGGGAGUAUUCUGGUUUUACAGCACGUAAAAUGCCACCACCCUGAAAUGACCACAUCCCUCCUGCUGGCAGCAACCACUCUGAUUUGGAGAGCUCUGUUUUCUUGCUUCCAGGUGGCAAACGAGGAAGCGAACCCUUUAUGGACGGUCAGAUGCACAGCAUCUUCAGCAGAGAUCAAUUCCAGGGCACCAGAUGGGCAGGAGACCCAUGGUCUGCUCCUGCCUUCAUUGCUGGCUCACCGUAACCCAACAGCAUCAGCUCUUUGGGCUUUGUGUUGUGACAGAGCUGAGCAGUUCCCACACCUGGACAAAGCCACCGCACCCCAACCCCAUGGCUAUAGGGGUCAGCACAGCCCCAUGGCAACCCCGACCCCCAGCCCCACUUUGCAGAGCAAUGCCAUAAAGGCCGGUGCACGGCUUCCAGGAAUAUCAACCCAUUCCAUCAGGGCUGACACAAACCAUGCAAGAUCUGCUUGCAAAUAAAAAAUGCAGCGUGGGUGGGUUUGUCAGCACAAGAACGCACAGAUCCUUCCACAGAUCCACAGAGGGAGCUCAUAAAAAUGCAAGCCGUGGGGCUCUGAGUGUGUGCGACCAGAAUUAGCUUUGUGAAGAGGCACUUUGGGCUGUUUUCCAAACUGAAGCCAAUGUUGUGCUUGCAAUGAAUCAAACACCCUCCUCGCUGCAAAGUGCAGAAGUGAAUGAGUGAACCGCCGGAGCAGCAGCGUCUCCGAGCUGGUGCUGCUCAAAGGGAUGUGAGUUUGAGGAACACCUUUUGCUUCCUAUGUGCUCGCCCAUCCUUCACAUCAGAUCAGCUGGUUCUGUUCAGCCAGUGGAGCGAUUGCUACUUUGCCUUGGCUGGUUCUGCUCCGGUGUGAUUGCUCCCGAAGGAAGGUUUUGCUCAUCUUGGCUGCUGUGUUUGUGCUGCUUCUAUGAGGACGCUCCGGGAUGAAGCACUGCAGGGACACGAGGAGGUGCUCACCCCGUGCACAGCACAGCCAGCAGUGCCAACACGCAGUGCGAGGUGGAGCAGCUGGCACUGCUCUGAGGUCGGGCACUCUGCGGAGCUCUCAGUGCAGUGCAGACACGUGUCGGGGAGGAGGAAGCGCUGCGUGUUUUCCUACCCGCUGAAAUCGCUCCACACACCCACUGCAGUCAGGCUGGGAUCAGCAGGGCUUCCUCCUGCGCUGUGCCAACGCAGCACAGAGCCCUUCUGGGUCACACCUGGGAGCAGUGGGUUGCACUGAGAGCCCCAGGAGAGCUGCGGUGCAGCCGGAGAGGGCUCACACACAGCUGCAGGGCACGAGGGUGCCCUUCGGGAUGAGUUGGUGCCAUCCGGGCGCAUCCGGCUGCGCCGUGCCCAUGGGCGGAGGAUGUGGCCGAGGCCGCCCGGCUGCAUUCCCCGGCGCUAUGGGAUGAGGGAGGAGCAACCCCAGUGCUGCCCGGCCCUGCUGUGACUCAGGUGGAUGGGUGCUGCUGUAGGGGCAGCCCAGGGACCACAGCCCCAAAGUCCCCCCUAUGCUCCAUGUCAGACCCUUCCCACAUCUCCCCGGCAGCUGUUGCACCACAGAGCAGCGGUACCUACAGGGGACUGCCAUGCCGAAUAGCCUCAACCCCGGGGAUUUUCAGGUGCCAAAGCAGUGGGGAACAGCACUCCCCCAUCCAUGCACUGGCAUUGCCCUUGAGUCACUUUGCAGCCUUGGGCCGGGCACAGCUCUGCUCUUUUAUCGGCCUGAUUAACUUAUGGCAAUAUUUGUUCAGGGCUUUAGGAUCCACGUAAGGGACUGCAGAAACACAUUCCCAUUGUGCUCGAGCCCCUCCGGCGUUGGCUUUCAGCCUCUUGCAAAGGUCACAGGGAAGGAAACUCAUUCCAGGUCAGAGCCUUCUACCAGACAGAAGAGAGCAAACUCACAUCGCACACAAACACCCCACAACCAACACAUCUCAUUGCCCAUAUUGGCUGUGGAGCACUCACAGUAACAGAAGCACAGCCCCACAAUGGUCUGUGCCACAGCUGACAUACAACUGAAUAUAACACACACACAUGGUUGAUCGAUGGGCACAGCCUUUUAUUCCUAUUUUUGCUUGUUUCGCACCUUUCCAUUUAUCCCAGAAAAAAAAUCUCCCUUUCUCUCUCUCUCUCUCUAUAUAUAUAUAUACAUAUAAAAAAAAAAUCAUUGCUUAUUUUUGGAGUAAACCUUUUGAAACCACUUCUUUUAAAACACAACCUCCGUCCAUACAGUGGUGCAGCCAUCAGCAUUCUGCAAAUGGAGCACAACAGGGGAUGCUCACAGUGGGACCCUGAGCGCUCUGGGACACGUUUUCCUGCUGCAGGACAUGGGGCUGAAGCUGUUCCUGUGCUGCACCCCACCUGUACUGCAGCAAUGGGUGCUGCCCUCAAUUCUGACCAAAGGGGAAUACAAAACCACAGCAGGAGCGGUGCAUGGACCGGAGCUGCUGAGGGCACAAAGCAAUGCAGCCUUUCCCCAGAGUGCAGCCAGAAUUGGUUGGAAAAAAUAAAAAAAUGCAAGAAAAUAAUGCCUGGAAGACAAAACAACAGCUCCCAAUCCAUGCUGGGUGCCACAAAAUGGAAAAAAAAAAAAAAAAAAAGAA